GUAGUCUCGCACAGAUGCAUAUCAAUAAGCGGAGGAAAAGAAACUAACAAGGAUUCCCCUAGUAACGGCGAGUGAAGCGGGAAGAGCUCUAAUUUGAAAUCUUAAAGGGUUUCCCUUUACGAAUUGUAGUUUAAAGAAGUGUUUUCUGUUGAGGUUUUGGUAAAAGUUCUUUGGAAUAGGACAUCAUAGAGGGUGAGAAUCCCGUAUUUGACCUUUACUUUCAACUUUGUGAUACACUUUCAAAGAGUCGGAUUGUUUGGGAAUGCAGUCCAAAAUGGGUGGUAAAUUUCAUCUAAAGCUAAGUAUUGGCGAGAGACCGAUAGCGAACAAGUACCGUGAGGGAAAGAUGAAAAGAACUUUGAAAAGAGAGUUAAACAGUACGUGAAAUUGUCAAAAGGGAAGCGUUUGACACCAGUGUUGUUUUUCUGAAAAUCAAUUAAAGAACUGUUUAUGCUAAGCUGUUUAGACUUUAUCAGCUAUCUGUUUAGUUUUGAGCUUUUCUUUAAUGCACUUUUCAGUUAACAAGUCAACAUCAAUUUCUUUUGCUGUAAAAAAGCUUGAGGAAGGUGGCUUGAGAUUCGUCUUAAGUGUUUAUAGCCUCCUGCCUAUGCAGUCGGAGAGAUUGAGGUCUGCAGCGUAGAUCCUUCGGGGCUAAAUGCAUUUGUGCUAAGUUAUAGCAUUUCAUAGACAACUUGUUGACUAUGAUUUGUCUUGUAGCUUACUCGCUUAUGUUAUUUUACCUACGCUUAGGAUGUUGACAGCAGUAUAGACUGU
Molecule: ribosomal RNA, 774 nt
Filed under: uncultured Neocallimastigales
Lineage: Eukaryota; Fungi; Neocallimastigomycota; Neocallimastigomycetes; Neocallimastigales
Description: partial large subunit ribosomal RNA
Rfam family: Eukaryotic large subunit ribosomal RNA
Source: RNAcentral